RNAcentral lists this unclassified non-coding RNA (487 nucleotides) under Hevea brasiliensis (rubber tree). The record is from RNAcentral. Lineage: Eukaryota; Viridiplantae; Streptophyta; Magnoliopsida; Malpighiales; Euphorbiaceae.
AUUGGAAAGACUCUUUAAAGGCACUUCAAACAUGUGAUGAUAUUCUUACCUAUGCUGAGGAACUUCAUAUUACAAAGAGGUGUAUCGAGUCACUAGCCACAAAAGCGUGUACUGACCCUAAUCUUUUUGGAUGGCCUAUAGUGGAGCAUGGGCCCAUGCAGAGUCCUGGGGGGAGUGUCUUGUGGAAUGGGAUAAGCACAGGGGCUAGACCCAAAAAAUCAAGUUCAGAUUGGUGGUAUGAGGAUGUGUUGACUUUAAGUUUACCUCUCUAUAAGAGGUUGAUUUCCGUUAUGGAAUCUCGUGGUAUCAGACAAGAGAUUAUUGCUGGGUCCCUUGCUUUCUAUGCUAAAAAGUACCUGCCUGGCCUCAAUAGGCGUCAAGGUGCCAGUGAGUCUGGUUCCCGUUUAAUUCCUGUGGCUUUAGCUCCGCCAUCAGAAGAAGACCAGAAGAAAUUGCUAGAAGAUAUUGAUAGGUUGCUUCCAAUGCA